AGCUGGAGGGUGACGCGGUCUGGCCUCCCUGUUGGGAAGAGCCAGUGCGGUGUGUGGAAGAGCCUGAGACAGAAGCCUGAGAAGACUCUUACCAGAAUGGAGGAGAGGAAGGAAGGCGUUCUAGACCAGGGUAAUAGAGCUGAAAAUGUGGUUUUAAUUAUAGCACUAAUGAAAACUGAAAAUCCAGACAGACACUUGACGAACUCUGCUGCGCUUUAUAUUACAUUUGUGCUAACUACAAAGUGCCCAGCUGGGUGUAACAUUAUCCCGCUUCCUCGGGCAUCCGCCUGACUGAAGCUGUGUAAUUGAUGUGGACUUUGGCAGGAGACAAGAGGCCUUUGGGUUGCAAUCUGAAGGUGGACCAGGCAGUGGAUUGUGAAGGCGAUUGGGCAAAGAGCCAUGAAGACCUGUUGUUGCUGCCCUUUGAGCCCUGAGAUGAUCUCCUCCCUUCCUGGAUAGGUUGGGGAGCCCCACAUGAGACUGGAAACAGGGCUGACCCACGUGCGGAGCCCUCAGUGCAAAGUCCUCUCUGCUCCCCAAGCCUGCAAUCCCAGCCGCAGCCCCGGGGCCUGGAAACUCCGGCCGAUUUAUUAAAGCGUCCUCCCUGUCUGCCACCAUCAGGCUAGAAUUGUUCCGAACAAAAGAAGCAUGAAUUGCUGGAAACUAUAUAUUAAAUGCAAGACUAUUUGUCUAGUUUUCAUUGGGUGCUGAGUGAAGAGCCUCAACUCCUCGUAUUCCCAUGGUACUCAGAUGUCCGCGGAGUCCGCUGCUCCUCACACUGUCAUUUCUCUCACUGGGCACAAUCCGGCUUUAAAGAAUCCGACACUUACUGGUCUUUAUGGAACUGUCAGCAGUGACAGCAACCAGGGACACUGCCAUGUCUUGCUGUUUACAAAGGAUGAGCACAACAAGGCAUCUCGAUGACUUGAUAAGCCCUGAGCUCCUCUCUCCCCAACUCUGGCCUCUCUGGACCAGCGGCCUUUGCAUGGCCAGCUAAAGACACAAGAAUUAAAACUUGAUCCAAACACUAACAAGUCUGCAACCACGGCCAUGAAGAUAAAGUAGGGCUGCUCAAGGUUGCUUGGUAAACAGCGAAAACAGAGAAACAGGAGGAUCCUUAUAUGCACAGGUUAUUUUUCUUUCAGUAUACUUAAAAUUUAGUGGAAAGAAAUCCUAGGCUAGCAUUAAAUUCAUAGAUUAUUAUUAUGGUCUUGAAUAGUUCAUCUUGUUUUCUCACUCUGACACUCCUUCACUUCUUUAGAAAUUCCAGCCAAUAAUGUUGUAGCUAAAUUAAGAUCAAAGUUUUUCUUUUUAUUUUAGGGGGUUGAAGGCUGAUCAGGGGAGCACAGGCUUAGCAUGCACAAGGCCCUGCUUCAGUUCCUGCAGUCUGCACCCCAAAAGAGCUUUUAAAAAAAGUUUUCUGAACCUACUAAUUUUUAUUUAGGGAAUUUAGGUAUGUCUUGGAAAUUAUAUAAAUGUAUGUGCUUUUCUCUUUCUGGCAUGCUAAGUUACGGUAGCCUUGGAAGUUGAAACUCUGUCCCCCUUUCCUUUUAUUGUUUUUCAACAUUGAACACAUGGAAGAAGAAAGGAAACUUUCACAUGCUUAUGUUGCACUGGUUCAAUGGUUUUGUUAAGUCUCACACACACAUCUCAUAGCUCUACCAACUGCAUAGGGUUUAAGAAUAUUGUCUUUCUUCAAUUCUAGGACAGGUUGGGCCAAUGGUGUU
Heterocephalus glaber (naked mole-rat) is the source of this 1727-nucleotide non-coding RNA. The record is from RefSeq and is a predicted model, not a curated record. Lineage: Eukaryota; Metazoa; Chordata; Mammalia; Rodentia; Bathyergidae.